CCUACGGGUGGCAGCAGUGGGGGAUUUUGCACAAUGGGCGAAAGCCUGACGCAGCAACGCCGCGUGAUCGAGACGCCCUUCGGGGUGUAAAAGUCUGUCCGUGAGGACGGAACAUGACGGUACCCACAGAGGAAGCACCGGCUAACUACGUGCCAGCAGCCGCGGUAAUACGGGGGGUGCAAGCGUUGUCCGGAAUUAUUGGGCGUAAAGGGUUCGUAGGCGGCACGUAAAGUCUGGUGUUAAAGGCCGAGGCUCAACUUCUGUACGGCAUUGGAUACUGGCGAGCUGGAAUGCGGUAGAGGUAAGGGGAAUUCCUGGUGUAGCGGUGAAAUGCUUAGAUAUCAGGAGGAACAGCGGUGGCGUAAGCGCCUUACUGGGCCGUAACUGACGUUGAGGAACGAAAGCGAGGGGAGCAAACGGGAUUAGAUACCCUAAUAGUC
This 440-nucleotide ribosomal RNA is filed under the name uncultured bacterium. RNAcentral describes it as "partial 16S ribosomal RNA". It matches the Rfam family "Bacterial small subunit ribosomal RNA", at positions 338 to 795 of the family's 1533-position model. The record is from RNAcentral.